GACGAACGCUGGCGGCGUGCUUAACACAUGCAAGUCGAACGGAAAGGCCCCUUUGGGGGUACUCGAGUGGCGAACGGGUGAGUAACACGUGAGUAACCUGCCCUUGACUUCGGGAUAACUUCAGGAAACUGGGGCUAAUACCGGAUAGGAAUCCUUGCUGCAUGGUGGGGGUUGGAAAGCUUCGGCGGUUUUGGAUGGACUCGCGGCUUAUCAGCUUGUUGGUGGGGUAGUGGCUUACCAAGGCUUUGACGGGUAGCCGGCCUGAGAGGGCGACCGGCCACAUUGGGACUGGGAUACGGCCCAGACUCCUACGGGGGGCAGCAGUGGGGAAUAUUGCACAAUGGGCGGAAGCCUGAUGCAGCAACGCCGCGGGCGGGAUGACGGCCUUCGGGUUGUAAACCGCUUUCAGCAGGGGCGAAGCUUGUGGUGACGGUACCUGCAGAAGAAGCACCGGCUAACUACGUG
Molecule: ribosomal RNA, 465 nt
Filed under: uncultured bacterium
Lineage: Bacteria
Description: partial 16S ribosomal RNA
Rfam family: Bacterial small subunit ribosomal RNA
Source: RNAcentral